Molecule: non-coding RNA, 24 nt
Filed under: Arabidopsis thaliana (thale cress)
Lineage: Eukaryota; Viridiplantae; Streptophyta; Magnoliopsida; Brassicales; Brassicaceae
Source: RNAcentral
ACGACCAUUUCAAGAGUUCACAGU